RNAcentral lists this long non-coding RNA (697 nucleotides) under Nicotiana benthamiana. Its description in RNAcentral is "long non-coding RNA (NBEN_LNC027843)". Lineage: Eukaryota; Viridiplantae; Streptophyta; Magnoliopsida; Solanales; Solanaceae. The record is from RNAcentral.
AUCUACAGUACAGGUGAACAAAGUAUAAUUACUCACAUUACCAAUUACAUGCAUUGGAGAAACCUGUUAUAUUUCCUUUCUUUACCUAUAAGAAAUCACCACAAUUUGAACGAGGAAGAGACCCACAACCUAGCAUCAAAAUACAACAUCCAAUUCUAAAAGAACUGGGAGUAACACCAUAGAACACGACGACGUAAGAACAAAACCAAAGCAUGUCACAGAACUUGCAUGAAAAUCAUUUCCUUUUUUUGAGAUGUCAUGAAUACAACAACAACAACAACAACAACAACUACCCAGUGUAUUCCCACCAGGUGGGGUCUGGGAGGGUAAUAUGUAGACGAGCCUUACCCCUACCCGGCAGGACAGGGAGGCUGUUUCCAAUCGACCCUUGGCUCAUAGGGUUAGGUGAAAAACAGUAGAUUAUCUUUAUUCUACCCAUCUCAUUAAAUUAUUUACAAGUUUUACUGGAUAUUUAAAUACAGGGCGGGGAGGCUGUUUCCAAUCGACCCUCGGCUCAGAUGUCAUGAAUACAAAAACUAUAAAAUGUCAUGACUACAAAAACUAUCGACUAAGAAGUCGGUAUGAGGGCAAAUCCUCCAACCGUGUUAUGUCUUCUUGCAAAAGCUCCCUUUCAAUUUGUCGACGAGUGGACUUCAUAACUGUCUGCAUGAAAUAAAGCAUAUCUAAACAUCAGGAA